Molecule: non-coding RNA, 170 nt
Filed under: Daucus carota subsp. sativus
Lineage: Eukaryota; Viridiplantae; Streptophyta; Magnoliopsida; Apiales; Apiaceae
Description: Bacterial small subunit ribosomal RNA
Rfam family: Bacterial small subunit ribosomal RNA
Source: Rfam by way of RNAcentral
GGCCUUUUUAAGUCCGCCGUCAAAUCCCAGGGCUUAACCCUGGACAGGCGGUGGAAACUACCAAGCUGGAGUACGGUAGGGGCAGAGGGAAUUUCCGGUGGAGCGGUGAAAUGCGUAGAGAUCGGAAAGAACUUUUGUUUUACGCAAUAUUAAAUAUUUUGAAAUAGUCC